AUUUCAUGGAUGCAUGUUAAUAUCUUAUUACCUGGAGACAGCCCUUAUAACUUAAUAUACUAUAGUAUGCUAUAUUAUAUUAUGUUAUAAUUUUUCCCCCUGCUCCAUGAGUUGUCUGUUUCCUCUAAGCUCUUUUUUUUUUUAGUCUUUGAUACUUUUCAUCUCUGACUUUAUGUGAAGACUAAGACUCUAACACAGGCCUGGAAAUCAUCUCCGCAGGAUGGCCCUUUUUCUGGAGGCCUGGACGUUCCCCACAACCCAGCGACACUCUCUGGCGAGAUGAACCCCCGUUCCUGGGACAAUGCUGAAGCACCUGCUGGUCUGUGGUCACUUAUUCGGUGUGUCUUCCCUGCAGAGCUGCGGACAUCAGAACAGCCCUGGGCUGCUUCAGAAAUAAGACCGGUACCCCGGUUUCCUGAAGCCCCUGUAACAAACAAGCACAAACUGGGUGAUGCAAAACAACAGAACCUUAUUCCCUCUUCGUGCAGGAGGCCAGAAGACUAAAACCAAGAAAGUUGCAGCCAAGCAAGAAAAGGCUGAGGACUCUGGAGAGAAGAGAUACAGCCUUGCACUGGCAAUGUGGAAGGGAUGGUUCAGAUCUAGCAUCCCCGGAAGCCAGCAGACCCUUGUUUCUUACACACUGCAGGAUGGGCGUGGCUCUUGACUAUAGGGAUUGACCCUGAAGUCUCUGCUGGGAACGAGGGGACGUCAUUUCCAUGGGACCGUGACACUGUUCCUCUGGUCCCUUCCUGAAUGGUGAAGUUUGAACUGUGACUUGUCUGCAGAGUAGGACAUACAGCCAUCCCUGCUUUGCCAGCAGAGAGGUCUCGGGUAUGUGAUGCUGUGCAUGGACGUAUUUGAAAUCCAGAGCACAUGGGCUGGACAGGUGAGAAGUGGGUCUCGGACAGGCUCCUCUCACACCCUGGGCUCAGUCAUAUCCUGGGGCAAUUGGCAAGGCCCAGCUUCUAAAUUGACCCCAUAACACUCUGCCAUUGCCAAUGGGGGUGGGCUUGGCUGGGUUUCCCAGAAACAGAAUAAAUUGAAAAGCAAUUGUACUGCAGGGGUGGGACGGUGAGGCGUGGGGGUGGUCAGAGCGCUUUGUCCAAUUGGUUCCCAAGCACGUGAACUCUGCAGUAAGGCUGCUGGAGGGACAAAAUCAAGGUCAUGAAGAUUGACCCCUGUGUUUUCUUCUAAAGGUUUUAUAUUUUAGCUCCUACAUUGUGGUCUUUGAUGCAUUUUUGGUGGGAGGAGAUGUAAUUGGCUUUAUUCAACCAUUCAUGAACUGGGCAGCAUCCCCUCUAGCAGGUAGAAGGGAACUCCCUGAUGCAUUUUGGUUUAAAAACCACAGGUAUGCUUUACAACAGUGAGAUAUUUGGCAGGAGUGUGUGGGACAAUUUACCCAAAGACACAAUUUUUUUAACAGAUUUAUCGACUUCGAAAUUUCAUUUCCUGUGUGCUCAUUUAUUUAUACGUACCCAUUAAUAUGCACGGCAGUACAGUAGUAAUAGCUCUUGUGGCCACACAGGAAAUGGUGUGCUAAUGUGGUAACUGGAAACGUAGUAACUGGAAACAUCAAGGACAUGUAACAAGGGAUUCUGCACUUUUUGAAACUAACCCCCUCUUAAGGAUCAAAGGGUGUGGUCGGAUUUUGGACUGACAGCAUCAAAAAGUCAGACAGAGAAUACAUGAAUCAGGAGAUGCAUUUUCUCUCUAACUUCGGGAAACGCGGGACAAAGAGAGCCUGGACCAGCUUCCACGGGCUGAGGUUUGAGAGUGACCCUCUUGCAGAAGCAUGGGACACUUCCAGACUGUGGAGGGCUGCUCGAGAUGUCCAUGCCGGGCACCUGCAUCAGCCCUUCCCCUCCCUCCCCAAUUUUUCAUGGCACCUGGGAGAAGUGGAGGGGAUUCAAGUUCCAUUAUUUAGGGACUCAGGGCCAAAUGAAAAUUCAUAAGAAACCUCUUGUUUGAAAGCAGAAGGGCCAUUAAAGAUA
Long non-coding RNA from Mustela lutreola (European mink), 1991 nucleotides. RefSeq lists it as uncharacterized. The record is from RefSeq and is a predicted model, not a curated record. NCBI's taxonomy places the organism in Eukaryota, Metazoa, Chordata, Mammalia, Carnivora, Mustelidae. The transcript has 3 exons.